RNAcentral lists this ribosomal RNA (494 nucleotides) under uncultured Hymenobacter sp. RNAcentral's name for it is "bacterial SSU rRNA". It matches the Rfam family "Bacterial small subunit ribosomal RNA", at positions 8 to 507 of the family's 1533-position model. Lineage: Bacteria; Pseudomonadati; Bacteroidota; Cytophagia; Cytophagales; Hymenobacteraceae. The record is from RNAcentral.
AGAGUUUGAUCCUGGCUCAGGAUGAACGCUAGCGGCAGGCCUAAUACAUGCAAGUCGAACGGUCAGUAGCAAUACUGAUAGUGGCGCACGGGUGCGUAACGCGUAGCCAACCUACCCGAAUCUGGGGGAUAGCCCGCCGAAAGGCGGAUUAAUACCGCAUAAAACCACAAUGUGGCAUCACAUAAUGGUUAAAGAUUUAUUGGAUUCGGAUGGGGCUGCGUGCCAUUAGCUAGUUGGGGAGGUAACGGCUCACCAAGGCGACGAUGGCUAGGGGAGCUGAGAGGCUGGUCCCCCACACGGGCACUGAGAUACGGGCCCGACUCCUACGGGAGGCAGCAGUAGGGAAUAUUGGGCAAUGGCCGAGAGGCUGACCCAGCCAUGCCGCGUGCAGGAUGAAGGCUUUCUGAGUCGUAAACUGCUUUUGCCAGGGAAGAAAAAGGGGGAUGCGUCCUUCACUGACGGUACCUGGUGAAUAAGCACCGGCUAACUCCGUG